This is a non-coding RNA of Lentinula edodes (shiitake mushroom), 96 nucleotides long. The record is from Rfam. NCBI's taxonomy places the organism in Eukaryota, Fungi, Basidiomycota, Agaricomycetes, Agaricales, Omphalotaceae.
GCAUUAAUGGGGUAGUGGUAACCUGGGUCGUUGCCAUACUGCAUAACUAUCUAAGCCUAUCUCGACCCGCCGGGGGUUCGAUUCCCUCUUAAUGCA